Molecule: transfer RNA, 71 nt
Filed under: Ignavibacteriaceae bacterium
Lineage: Bacteria; Pseudomonadati; Ignavibacteriota; Ignavibacteria; Ignavibacteriales; Ignavibacteriaceae
Description: tRNA-Gln
Rfam family: tRNA
About the family: Transfer RNA (tRNA) molecules are approximately 80 nucleotides in length. Their secondary structure includes four short double-helical elements and three loops (D, anti-codon, and T loops).
Source: RNAcentral
UGCCGGAUCGUCUAAUGGUAGGACAGCGGCCUUUGGAGCCGUACGUUGAGGUUCGAGUCCUCAUCCGGCAG